Molecule: ribosomal RNA, 902 nt
Filed under: Apis mellifera ligustica (common honey bee)
Lineage: Eukaryota; Metazoa; Arthropoda; Insecta; Hymenoptera; Apidae
Description: partial large subunit ribosomal RNA
Source: RNAcentral
GGGUGAUUAAAAUUUAUAUAAUGAUUUUAAAUAUCUCGAAAAUAAGGGAGCUAAAUUUAUAUUAUUUUUUUUGUAGCAAUAAAAUUAUAUAUAUAGAUUUAGAAAUUAAAUGUUAAACGAACUUAUUAAUAUCUAGUCUUCUUAGAAAUAAAUUUAAUUUAGAUAUAAUUAUUUUAGUAAAUUAAAUUUUAUUUUAAUUUAUUAAUUUUUAUAUUAAAAAUUUAUGGGAUAAUCUAUAAAUUUAAGAUAAAAAUUUAAUUUUAAUUUUUAAUGUUAUAGAGAUAAUAUUUUUCUUUAAUUUUAAUAAUUUAAUAAUUUAAUAUUUAUAAAUUAAUAAUGAUUUAAAUUUAUAUUUUAUUUUUCUAUAAAAAUUUAUAUUUUAAUUAAUAAAAUAUAGAAAUAAUGAUUAGAUUAGUAAUAAAGUUAUAUUUUAUAAUGAUAUUUUGUAUUAUAUAAUUUAAAGGAAUUCGGCAAAUAUAUUAUUCACCUGUUUAUCAAAAACAUGUCCUGUUGAUUAUAAUUUUAGGUCGAUCUGCUCAAUGAAUUAUUUUAAAUAGCUGCAGUAUGUUGACUGUACAAAGGUAGCAUAAUAAAUUGUCUUUUAAUUGAAGAAUUGUAUGAAAGAAUUAAUGAAAUAAUAACUGUCUCUAAAUUAUUAAAUGAAUUUAAAUUUUUAGUUAAAAUUCUAAAAUUUAAUUAUGGGACGAUAAGACCCUAUAGAAUUUAAUUUAAUUUUUAAAUUUAUUUAUAAUUUUAAUAAAUAUAUUUAAGAUUAAAUUUGAUUGGGAGGAUUGGUAAAUUUAAUAAACUUUAUUUAAGAUUUAAUUUUGAUAUAAAGAUAAUUUUUUGAAUUAUAAAUUGUAAUUAAAAGAAUAAAUUACCUUAGGGAUAACAGCGUAAUA